GUAAAAUUUUAGUAAAUAAACUCAUUAGGAAGGGCAGUUUCAUGCAUAAGCUGAGAACACUAGCAAUACUGCCUGCAUCAUUUCAUGCAGGACACACAAGUAACUGAUACAUUUACGGACAGCUAAAGGGAUUGGCAAACUCUAGUUAGCAUUUAGGCACAAUGUUGCCAUCCUACAUAAACCUAUCCAUACUCGACCUUCACUCUUAAAAUUUCUUACAAAACCCAUACACAUAUUAUUUGGUCAAGAGAAAAGGUUGUAUCCCUUCUUGUUCCUCCAUUCAGUCAUCCCUUUUGGUGGCUGAAUGUGGGUCCAAGUAGGUACCUCAUGUACCUCAUGAUUCUGUCAUUCGUUUAACAGGAUAGAAAUGCUAAACACUAGAUAAUCUAAGGGAUUCAAAAUGACUCCAAAAAAGCCUGGAUGAUUGUAAGAUCAAACACAGGGAUUUGGUGCAUCAUCACUGUUGUCAGGAGGCAUUUGUCUUUGGACAGCUUUUACUGCUGCAACUCUUGCAGCAUUGGCUGCCUUAUUUGCUGCUGCAACAGCUCUAUUCAACCUUUCAUCUGUUCUUGCCAAAUCAUAUGCUUUCCUAGCAGCCUGCUGUGCUUCCUGGACAGCAUAAAGAACUUUGGAAUAAGUAACCGCAUAAGGAGAUCCAUAAAGGCUAUUCUCUGAGUUGGGGAAAUCAAGAAAACCAUUUUGCCAAUGACCAGAUUGUGUUUCCCCAUUUCUGAAAGUGUACAUGCCAAGCCCUUGCCUCCUUCCCUCAUGCCAAGCUCCUUCAUAUUGAUGUCCAUUUCCGAACUGAUAAACUCCAAAACCAUGCAUUUUGUCUGCAAAAUAUUCCCCAGCAUAUGUGUCCCCAUUUCUGAAAUAGUAACGACCAAGGCCAUGCUUGACGCCCCACUUGAACUCCCCAACAUAUCUACUACCAUCCUCACAGGUAUGGAUCCCACACCCGUGACAUUGCCCAUUAGACCACUCCCCAGCGUAAACAUCACCAGAAUAAAACCUAUAAACUCCAAUUCCAUGCCUUAAACCCUUCCUAUAUUGCCCUCUGUACCGACUCCCUUUAGCCCAGGUUUCAACUCCAUAGCCAUCAUACUUCUCAUCAACCCAAUCACCCUCAUAUCUCCCGCUCAUGUAAUAGUAAUAAACCCCACUGCCUGAACACUUUCCCUUGUGAAAUUCACCCUCAUAAACAUCACCAUUGCUGUAAACUUGAACCCAAGACCCCGAAUUCGGCCUCUUCUCUACUUUUGGCUUGGAACCAAUAGACCAUAUUACAGGUUUUGAAGCUUUUGUGGGUAAAUUUGUUGAGUUGAGCUUACUAGGCAAUGAACGGGCAAGAAGUAAUCGAAUAGAAGGCAAGCGAGGGAAAGCGAGGGUGAGAGAUACCAAAAAGGUAAUUGAGAAAGCAAGAAUUGAAAGAAAAUUUAUGAUAAAAAAGCGAUUAUGUAUGGAUAAAAAGAAGUAAAGUGAAGGCAAAGAAAUAAGGACUAAGACCCGCAAAUGUACACAAAGCAAACGGGCACGGGUUAGACAGAAAAAUAGUUUAUAUGAUAGAGUUCUGAUGGAAAAUGGAGUUGCAAAAGAGGGUGUUGGACUAAAAUUGGAUUGGUGGCGAGUAGAAGAAAGGGAAAGAGAAGAGGGUGAAAGAGUCAUGAUUGUAGGUCUUUUGUGAGGCAACGAAAGAAGGGGUGUUGUUUGUGUUGUCGAAGGAUGAUUGGAGAUGGGUUGUUGUAGGUCAUGGUGAAAGUGAAAGUGAGGUUGGUGUUGGUGAUGGUGUUGGGCUAGCAGCAUAGGCAGUGGUGGGUUCGGUGAUAUUUGCAGGGAUGGGAUUUGGAUUUGGAGAUGCUUUUGGUGGAUUGGAAUCGUAGUAUCGGAACCAGAAGAAACGCCUCUGCUUCUGCUUCUGCCUCUGCCUCUGCCCCUGCUUCUGCUUCCAGUUUCUUUUCUGAUCUGCGUUUCUGAUAUCUUCUGAAGCAUUUACAUAUCAGAGAUGCCCCUUCCUUCUGCAAGUCUCUCUGUAGAGCUAUUGCUUUUGUUUCUUCUCCUCAAUCUCUGUUGGUGUGUGAGAUUUGAAAGGAGAAGAGCUCUGAUGAAUAUAAUGGAAGAAGAGAGUAAAAGAAGGAAAGAUGAAUAUAAUGGAAGAAGAGAGUAAAAGAAGGAAA
RNAcentral lists this unclassified non-coding RNA (2174 nucleotides) under Hevea brasiliensis (rubber tree). The record is from RNAcentral. Lineage: Eukaryota; Viridiplantae; Streptophyta; Magnoliopsida; Malpighiales; Euphorbiaceae.